RNAcentral lists this unclassified non-coding RNA (297 nucleotides) under uncultured Agaricales. RNAcentral describes it as "sequence contains 5.8S rRNA gene, ITS2, 28S rRNA gene". The record is from RNAcentral. Lineage: Eukaryota; Fungi; Basidiomycota; Agaricomycetes; Agaricales.
AACGCAUCUUGCGCUCCUUGGUAUUCUGAGGAGCAUGCCUGUUUGAGUGUCAUUAAGCUUUAUCAAAACACUUGUGUGUGUGUUUUGGACAUUGGGGGGAGUGCUUUGCUGGCAUGAAUGGAGCCAGCUCUCCUUAAAAACAAAGACAGCUUGGAGGUUGUUGGCAUGAUAUAAUUUUGUUUAUGCUAACUUUUGAGUAUCUCUGCUGCUUUUUACUACUUUGUGGUUGAUCUCUGAUCCACCCUAUAUAAUUUGUCUCUUGACCUCAAAUCAGGUAGGAUUACCCGCUGAACUUAA